AGUUCUCAACUCCCGGCUACAGGAGCUGGAGAGGUGGAUUUUGAGGGGGAUUCCCUACGGAGAAGUCGAGGUGUCCUCUCCUGAUGCGUGGGCGGCCAGCCUGGCUUUCCCACUAGAGCGUGGGGAUCCCCAUUCCAAGAAGUUGCCAGAGUUCGACAGUUUGGGCAGAUAGCUUCCCUUUGCUGAAGGUCUGUACCACUUUUAUCACAAUGGCCUUGCAAAGGCCAAGAGAAGACGCAGCCUACACCACAAGCAGCAGCUGGAGAGAGACCCCAGGGUAAAGAUGGCUUUGCAGCAGGAAGGAUUUGACCGAAAAAAGCGAGGUUACAGAGACAUCAAUGAGAUCGACAUCAACAUGAACGAUCCUCUUUUUACAAAGCAAUGGUAUCUGAUCAAUACUGGGCAAGCUGAUGGCACUCCUGGCCUUGAUUUGAAUGUGGCUGAAGCCUGGGAGCUGGGAUACACAGGGAAAGGUGUUACCAUUGGGAUUAUGGAUGACGGGAUUGACUAUCUCCACCCGGACCUGGCCUCCAACUAUAAUGCCGAAGCAAGUUACGACUUCAGCAGCAACGACCCCUAUCCUUAC
Molecule: small RNA, 586 nt
Filed under: Pongo abelii (Sumatran orangutan)
Lineage: Eukaryota; Metazoa; Chordata; Mammalia; Primates; Hominidae
Description: processed transcript
Source: RNAcentral